Echinostoma caproni is the source of this 45-nucleotide non-coding RNA. The record is from Rfam. Lineage: Eukaryota; Metazoa; Platyhelminthes; Trematoda; Plagiorchiida; Echinostomatidae.
GCACUGCUUACGAGUCCCAAACAGGACGAGACAGCUGUCUAGUGC